Molecule: transfer RNA, 75 nt
Filed under: Bacteriophage sp.
Description: tRNA-Gly
Rfam family: tRNA
About the family: Transfer RNA (tRNA) molecules are approximately 80 nucleotides in length. Their secondary structure includes four short double-helical elements and three loops (D, anti-codon, and T loops).
Source: RNAcentral
GCAAGCAUAGUUCAAUGGUUAGAACAUUUGAUUCCCAAUCAGAGAAUGCCAGUUCGAUUCUGGUUGUUUGCUCCA